GAGAAUGCUAUCAGAGGAAGCAUUUCCCAGAGAAGAGCGGCCAAAUGUGGGUUCAAAGCGGAUAGGAUUAAUACUGCCAGGUUUCGGACCACUAGCCCCUUGGCUUCGCCGGCAAUUGGGUCGCCUUGUAUAACUACUCCGCCCGGGAUUAGCCCCACUGCGCUACUCGGUUCGCCGAUUAUGUUGCCUAAUUCUCAGAUAAAGUUCUCUUUUUUUUUUUUUGCCGAUCAUUUUGAUUUGCAAUUUUUCUUGG
RNAcentral lists this unclassified non-coding RNA (253 nucleotides) under Hevea brasiliensis (rubber tree). Lineage: Eukaryota; Viridiplantae; Streptophyta; Magnoliopsida; Malpighiales; Euphorbiaceae. The record is from RNAcentral.